GACGAACGCUGGCGGCGUGCUUAACACAUGCAAGUCGAACGGAAAGGCCCUGCUUUUGUGGGGUGCUCGAGUGGCGAACGGGUGAGUAACACGUGAGUAACCUGCCCUUGACUUUGGGAUAACUUCAGGAAACUGGGGCUAAUACCGGAUAGGAGCUCCCGCUGCAUGGUGGGGGUUGGAAAGUUUCGGCGGUUGGGGAUGGACUCGCGGCUUAUCAGCUUGUUGAUGGGGUAGUGGCUUACCAAGGCUUUGACGGGUAGCCGGCCUGAGAGGGUGACCGGCCACAUUGGGACUGAGAUACGGCCCAGACUCCUACGGGAGGCAGCAGUGGGGAAUAUUGCACAAUGGGCGGAAGCCUGAUGCAGCAACGCCGCGUGCGGGAUGACGGCCUUCGGGUUGUAAACCGCUUUCGCCUGUGACGAAGCGUGAGUGACGGUAAUGGGUAAAGAAGCACCGGCUAACUACGUG
RNAcentral lists this ribosomal RNA (468 nucleotides) under uncultured bacterium. RNAcentral's name for it is "partial 16S ribosomal RNA". It matches the Rfam family "Bacterial small subunit ribosomal RNA", at positions 28 to 507 of the family's 1533-position model. The record is from RNAcentral.